CGGCAGCCCGAGUGGUGAUCACUAUUAUUGGGUCUAAAGGGUCCGUAGCCGGUUUGAUCAGUCUUUUGGGAAAUCUGACAGCUUAACUGUUAGGCUUCCAAAGGAUACUGUCAGACUUGGGACCGGGAGAGGUAAGAGGUACUACAGGGGUAGGAGUGAAAUCUUGUAAUCCCUGUGGGACCACCAGUGGCGAAGGCGUCUUACCAGAACGGGUCCGACGGUGAGGGACGAAAGCUGGGGGCACGAACCGGAUUAGAUACCCGCGUAGUCC
This 271-nucleotide ribosomal RNA is filed under the name uncultured archaeon. RNAcentral describes it as "partial 16S ribosomal RNA". It matches the Rfam family "Archaeal small subunit ribosomal RNA", at positions 477 to 747 of the family's 1478-position model. The record is from RNAcentral.